GAUGAACGCUAGCGGCAGGCUUAACACAUGUAAGUCGAGGGGCAACACGGGUAGCAAUACCUGGUGGCGACCGGCGCAAGGGUGCGUAACGCGUGAGCAACAUGCCCUAUACAGGGGGAUAAUCCAGGGAAACUUGGUCUAAUAUCCCAUAGUAUUUAGAGGUGGCAUCACCACUAAAUUAAAGCUUCGGUGGUAUAGGAUUGGCUCGCGUGACAUUAGCUGGAUGGUGGGGUAACGGCUCACCAUGGCGAUGAUGUCUAGGGGUUCUGAGAGGAAGACCCCCCACACUGGGACUGAGACACGGCCCAGACUCCUACGGGAGGCAGCAGUGAGGAAUAUUGGACAAUGGAUGGAAAUCUGAUCCAGCCACACCGCGUGUGCGAAGAAGGCCUUCGGUCGUAAAGCACUUUUGGAAGGAAUAGGAAGGAAUGUACUUCCAGAAUAAGUCUCGGCUAACUACGUG
Molecule: ribosomal RNA, 463 nt
Filed under: uncultured bacterium
Lineage: Bacteria
Description: bacterial SSU rRNA
Rfam family: Bacterial small subunit ribosomal RNA
Source: RNAcentral